This 400-nucleotide ribosomal RNA is filed under the name phytoplankton environmental sample. Its description in RNAcentral is "partial small subunit ribosomal RNA". It matches the Rfam family "Eukaryotic small subunit ribosomal RNA", at positions 587 to 989 of the family's 1831-position model. The record is from RNAcentral.
AGCUCCAAUAGCGUAUAUUAAAGUUGUUGCAGUUAAAAAGCUCGUAGUUGGAUUUCUGGUGGGAGGGAUACGUUCCACAUUCAAUGUGGUAACUAUAUCCUCUCCGGCCAUCCUUGGGUGGAUCUUUUCUGGCAUUAAGUUGUCAGUUAGGGGAUGCCCAUCGUUUACUGUGAAAAAAUUAGAGUGUUCAAAGCAGGCUUAUGCCGUUGAAUAUAUUAGCAUGGAAUAAUAAGAUAGGGCCUUGGAACUAUUUUGUUGGUUUGCGUACCGAGGUAAUGAUUAAUAGGGACAGUUGGGGGUAUUUGUAUUCAGUAUUCAGUGGUGAAAUACUUAGACCUACGGAAGACAAACUACUGCGAAAGCAUUUACCAAGGAUGUUUUCAUUAAUCAAGAACGAAAG